Molecule: long non-coding RNA, 888 nt
Organism: Jaculus jaculus (lesser Egyptian jerboa)
Lineage: Eukaryota; Metazoa; Chordata; Mammalia; Rodentia; Dipodidae
Exons: 3
Source: RefSeq, a predicted model, not a curated record
UGAGGUUUCGACACAUAGGCCAGAUAACAAAGCUUCCGUAUGGCCAUGUUGGGCAGAAAACCCUUAGGUGCUUUAGUGUAAAUAUAACUGUUAUAUUCCAAGAGUUGAAAGGAGAGUUCUCCUGACUGAGGCUGGGAGGCCAGCAAACUGGUUCCUAGCCUUCAGGAGUUCCGGGUCCGGGGACCGGGACUUUCUUCAGGAUUCAGGACACAGCGGGAGAGCGCCAUGGCGGCGACUCAACACGCGUUUCUUUGUCACCAGGGAGGUUGGGGAGGUAACCCCCCCCCUCCCAGCCCCGAUCUUAAGCUCACAAAGGCCUUGUUAGCUAGCUUUGCGUCAAAUUUCCGUACCCUGAGGAAUCAGGCGUGGGAGACUUUCACAGAGGCUGACAAGCCUCGGCACCAAAUCGCAGCCCUCCACUCCGUGGGAUCCAUCCCGCCCAACAGCAUCAGAACGAGACAAGUUGGCUACCCAGGGAGCUUGAGAAGGGGAGGGAGCGGCGACAUCACCACAUCCGGAAACGCCCUUUAAGGACCUCCCAUGCUCUCUUGUGCCACCUUCGGUGAACUUCAUAUUCCCAGAACCACAACAAGUGGUAGCGGACACCUCCUUCCCUCCCCGUGGUGUUCAGAGAGUGUCGUGUCCCCCAGUGUGUCAGGAAAGACUGUCGGCCACUCACUAACCCUAACCGUCCCACAUCCCAGGCCCAGGAUGGACUUCCCAGUGCUGUUUCCCAAGUGCUGUGUGACAUACAGGGAACUGUGCAUGAGAGGACGACACACAAAGACAGGCGGUUCCCUCUGGCUGCUGUGAGGCAAAAGUCUUCUUCAAAGAGACCCACCUUUGAGCGGAGGCCCGCAUGUGCCACUCGAGGUCUGGAGCAUCCUG